AUUAGAACUAGUUUACAUACACUGAGGUUGGAGUCAUUAAAACUAGUUUACAUACACUGAGGUUGGAGUCAUUACAACUAGUUUACAUACACUGAGGUUGGAGUCAUUACAACUAGUUUACAUACACUGAGGUUGGAGUCAUUAGAACUAGUUUACAUACACUGAGGUUGGAGUCAUUAGAACUAGUUUACAUCCACUUAGGUUGGAGUCAUUAGAACUAGUUUACAUACACUGAGGUUGGAGUCAUUAAAACUAGUUUACAUACACUUAGGUUGGAGUCAUUACAACUAGUUUACAUACACUUAGGUUGGAGUCAUUAGAACUAGUUUACAUACACUUAGGUUGGAGUCAUUAGAACUAGUUUACAUACACUUAGGUUGGAGUCAUUAAAACUCGUUUUUCAACGACUCCACAAAUGUAUUGUUAACUAACUAUAGUUUUGGCAAAUCGGUUAGGACAUCUACUUUGUGCAUGACACAAGUCAUUUCUCCAACAAGAGUUUACAGACAGAUUAUUUCACUUAUAAUUCACUGUAUCACAAUUCCAGUGGGUCAGAGGUUUAUAUACACUAAGUUGACUGUGCCUUUAAACAGCUUGGAAAAGACCAGAAAAUUAUGUCAUGGAUUUAGAAGCUUCUGAUAGGCUAAUUGACAUAAUUUGAGUCAAAUGGAGGUGUACCUGUGGAUGUAUUUCAAGGCCUACCUUCAAACUCAGUGCCUCUUUGCCUGAUAUCAUGGGAAAAUCAAAAGAAAUCAGCCAAGACCUCAGAAAAAAAUGGUAUAACUCCACUAGUCUGGUUCAUCCUUCGGAGUCAUUUCCAAAUGCCUGCGGUACCACGUUCAGCUGUACAAACAAUAGUAUGCAAGUAUAAACACCAUGGGACCAGGCAGCCGUCAUACCGCUCAGGAAGGAGAUGCGUUCUGUCUCCUAGAGAUGAACGCACUUUGGUGUGAAAAGUGCAAAUCAAUCCCAGAACAACAGCAUAGGACCUUGUGAAGAUACUUUUGUAGCGGUUUCCUCCAGUAUCUAAAUCCACAGUAAAACGUGUCCUAUAUCAGCAAGGAAGAAGUCACUGCUCCAAAAACGUCAUAAAAAAAAAGACAGAUUACGGUUUGCAACGGCACGUGAGGACAAAGAUCAUACUUUUUGGAGAAAUGUCCUCUGGUCUGAUGACCAUCUUUAUGUUUGACGGGAAAAGGGGGCGGGGCUUGCAAGCCGAGAACGUCAUCCCAACAGUGAAGCACGGGGGCGGCAGGAUCAUGUUGUGGGGGUGCUUUACUGCAGGAGGGACUGGUGCACUUCACACAAUAGAUGGCAUCAUGAGGAUGGUCAAUUAUGUGGAUAUAUUCAAUCAACAUCUCAGUCAGGAAGUUAAAGCUUGGUUGCAUGACCCCAAUCAUACUUCCAAAGUUGUGGCAAAAUGGCUUAAGGACAACAAAGUCAAGGUAUUGGAGUGGUCAUCACAAAGCCCUGACCUCAAGCCUAUAGAACAUUUGUGGGCAGAACUGAAAAAGCUUGUGUGAGCAAGGAGACCUACAAACCUGACUCAGUUACACCAGCUCUGUCAGGAGGAAUGGGCCAAAAUUAACUCAACUUAUUGUGGGAAGCUUGUGGAAGGUUACCCAAAACAUUUGACCCAAGUUAAACAAUUUAAAGGCAAUGCUACCAAACACUAAUUGAGUGUAUGUAAACUUCUGACCCACUGGGAAUGUGAUGAAAGAAAUACAAGCUGAAAUAAAUAAUUAUUUCUACUAUUAUUCUGACAUUUCACAUUCUUAAAAUAAAGUGGUGAUCCUAACUGACCUGAGAUGGAAUUUUUACUAGGAUUAAAUGUCAGGAAUUGUGAAAAACUGAGUUUAAAUGUAUUUGGCUAAGGUGUUUGUAAACUUCCUGACUUCAACUGUAAUGUGUUUCGUCCUUUUGAAGUUAAAGGGUGCUUACAGCCAGUUCCUCAGAAAAGUCAGGGAAGUAAACAAAGCAGUGAAGGAUCAUGGGUAGUGAUUGACCUCACUGCAGGGUUAGGGGUAUACAUACGGUGGCCUGUAAGUUACAAACUACAGUCCCCUAUAAACAGUGGAGAAAAAAAGUGAAAUAUAUACAAGCUAAUGGGAACAAUGAUAGUAUUUGCCACUUAGUCUCAUCCAACACUAUGCUAGAAACAUUGAUUUGGUUUCCAUGGCAACUCACAAAUCCAAUUCCAAGAAUUGGAAACAAUAUGUUUUGGGAGCCACACAGAGAACUACAGAGCGCUAAAAGGGAGAGAGGUUUUAGUGCACAGGACAGGGUUUACCAAACUCGGUCCUCAGGACACCAAGAGCCACACAGAGAACUACAGAGAGCUAAAAGGGAGAGAGGUUUUAGUG
Long non-coding RNA from Oncorhynchus keta (chum salmon), 2363 nucleotides. RefSeq lists it as uncharacterized. NCBI's taxonomy places the organism in Eukaryota, Metazoa, Chordata, Actinopteri, Salmoniformes, Salmonidae. The record is from RefSeq and is a predicted model, not a curated record. The transcript has 3 exons.